RNAcentral lists this ribosomal RNA (454 nucleotides) under uncultured bacterium. RNAcentral describes it as "partial 16S ribosomal RNA". It matches the Rfam family "Bacterial small subunit ribosomal RNA", at positions 28 to 507 of the family's 1533-position model. The record is from RNAcentral.
GAUGAACGCUGACAGAAUGCUUAACACAUGCAAGUCCACUUGAACUUCGGUUUGGGUGGCGGACGGGUGAGUAACGCGUAAAGAACUUGCCUCACAGUUAGGGACAACAUUUGGAAACGAAUGCUAAUACCUGAUAUUAUGAUUUUAGGGCAUCCUAGAAUUAUGAAAGCUAUAUGCGCUGUGAGAGAGCUUUGCGUCCCAUUAGCUAGUUGGAGAGGUAACGGCUCACCAAGGCGAGGAUGGGUAGCCGGCCUGAGAGGGUGAACGGCCACAAGGGGACUGGGACACGGCCCUUACGCCUACGGGAGGCAGCAGUGGGGAAUAUUGGACGAUGGACCAAGAGUCUGAUCCAGCAAUUCUGUGUGCACGAUGAAGUUUUUCGGAAUGUAAAGUGCUUUCAGUUGGGAAGAAAAAAAUGACGUUACCAACAGAAGAAGUGACGGCUAAAUACGUG